Molecule: RNA transcript, 2282 nt
Organism: Asparagus officinalis (garden asparagus)
Lineage: Eukaryota; Viridiplantae; Streptophyta; Magnoliopsida; Asparagales; Asparagaceae
Gene name: sterol 3-beta-glucosyltransferase UGT80B1
Exons: 16
Source: RefSeq, a predicted model, not a curated record
CCCAAAUUUGGGGGGGGGGGGGCGUGACCCCCCGGACUGUAUGUAGAUCCUCCCCUGCACACGCCCACGCACAUUGAUGAUGGAGAGCUUGAGGCCUCGAGCUAUUUUCAUGGCGUUCGGCACCAAAGGCGACGUCUUUCCGAUUGCAGCUAUUGCUGCGGCUUUUGCGCUUGAUCAACCGCAUUAUAACGUUGUGUUCGUUACUCACUCGGCCCAUCAGAGUUUAGAUGUACAUUUGGGUGGCAAAGGUGUCGCCUUUAUGCCGAUAUCAACUCCUCCGGUGCUUUCGGUCCAUCAAGCCAGCACUUGCGCAGAUUCUGAGCUGCAGUCUUUUUCUACGCGCAAGAAGAUGAUUCGGACACAACAUAGGCAAGAGUGUUUAUCCGCAGAUAGUGAAAGUAUGCCGGGUGAUUUUAUUGUGAUCAAUUUCUUUGCCCUGGAAGGAUGGAGCCUUGCGGAACUAUAUCAAGUUCAAUGUGUUGUUGCUGCUCCUUAUGUUCUUCCUUAUAGCGCACCUUCAUCAUUUGAACGCCAAUUCAGACAUGAAUUUCCACUUUUGUUCAAGUACUUUCAAGAAGCGCCUGCUGAAAAGGUCAGCUGGAAAGAUGUUCAACAUUGGAUGUGGCCACUCUUUUCAGAAGAUUGGGGCUCAUGGAGAAGUGAUUGUUUGAAUCUAAGCCCUUUACCAUUCAUGGAUCCUGUAACAAAUCUUCCCAUGUGGCACAUGCGGGCGCAGUCACCCUUGUUAUUGUAUGGCUUCAGCAAGAAGAUUGUUGAAUGCCCAGGUUACUGGCCAUCAAAUGUUCAUGUAUGUGGCUUCUGGUUUCUGCCUGUGGAGUGGCAAUUUUCAUGUGAUAGAUGCAGGGAAAUAGUACCUUCACAUUCUCAUGAAUAUCCAAUCAAAAAGAGUCUACUAUGUGCUGAUCAUUCCGAUCUAUAUCAUUUCCUUGGGAAGACUUCUAGUCCAGGCUUGCCCAUAUUCAUUGGGUUAAGUUCUAUUGGAAGUAUGGGCUUUUUCCAAAAUCCUCGGGCAUUUCUUCUGGUGCUCAAAGCUGUUAUAGAUAGCACAGGUUACAGAUUUAUUCUUUUCUCAGCUGGAUACGAGCCUCUGGAUGCUGCCAUUCAGAUGACUGCUGAUGGAUCAUCAAAUUCAACUAAACUACAACAUUCGAUGUAUUGCAAGCAUCUUCUCUUCAAUGAUUGUCUAUUCUGUUUUUCUGGUACUCUUCCAUACAGCUGGCUCUUUCCAAGAUGUGCAGUUGUAAUUCAUCAUGGGGGCAGCGGAUCUACUGCUGCAGCACUAUAUGCUGGAACCCCACAGAUUAUAUGUCCUUUUAUUCUAGAUCAGUUUUACUGGGCUGAGAGACUUUACUGGCUCGGAGUUGCACCAGAACCACUAAGAAAAGCACAACUGGUUCCAGAUAGUGAAGAUGCUAGAAGCAUUAAGCAAGCUGGAGAUGCUCUAUCAGCAGCUAUUAAGCACGCUUUGUCCCCUGAAAUGAAAGAUCAAGCAUCUCGAGUCUCUGAGAGAAUUUCUUCAGAGGAAAAGAACAGAUAGGUAUCUGUAUAUGAGAUUUCUUAUUGUCUCAAUAUAAAGAUAUGGCUGAACCCUAAAGAGGAAACAUACUUCUCCUAGUCCUAGACGGCCCAUUCCAGAAGCAAUGUUGAUAUCUGAUAUAAUAUCUCCAUCUUCUACCUCUGCAUCCGUCAAAGUUAGAGCCUUUUGAAGCUUUCUAUGGGAGAACACCUCAACUUCAGUCAUGAAUGUGGCAGUCACAGGGCGAUGAUCUGAGAGUUUCAACUCACUUCUUUUGUAGCUCAAGAGCUUCAUACCAGUCCCAAAUCAGGAGUAAAAGUCAAUGAUUCUUCUUCAUUUAAUGGAUGGAUUUCUUGUUCUUCUUCCUCGGUGUCAGUGUCGGAUUCUGGUAAUAAUUCUUCUACAGUGGCACCGGCGUGUUCUGAUGCCUUGAAUCUCGAUGGAGAUGGAGGAUCGCUGUAGCUUUUGUAUUUGGGUUUUUGUGGUCGAAGUUUGUUUAGUGAGUCUCGAAUGAGAGAUUCCCAACUGGGAACCGGACGGUUGUCUUCAGCGCCAAAAAUGUUUCCUGCGUUUAGAGGAACAAUCUCCUGAAGGCUGCAAGAACAUAAACAAGUAUGUUAAACUAAUGAAAAGUUAUGAGGAAUGUUAAGUCAAAACUCAUUAAAAAAAAGUAAACAUGAACCUGUAAAGAUAGCACAAUUUUCUCAAGAUUAAGGUUUUUAAUGACCAUUUUUGGAUUUUAUUA